RNAcentral lists this ribosomal RNA (455 nucleotides) under uncultured bacterium. RNAcentral describes it as "bacterial SSU rRNA". It matches the Rfam family "Bacterial small subunit ribosomal RNA", at positions 340 to 786 of the family's 1533-position model. The record is from RNAcentral.
UACGGGAGGCAGCAGUGGGGAAUAUUGCACAAUGGGCGAAAGCCUGAUGCAGCUAUGCCGCGUGUAUGAAGAAGGCCUUAGGGUUGUAAAGUACUUUCAUCGGGGAGGAAAAAACAAAACUAAUAAUUUUAUUUCUUGACGUUACCCGAAAAAGAAGCACCGGCUAACUCCGUGCCAGCAGCCGCGGUAAUACGGAGGAUGCUAGCGUUAAUCAGAAUUACUGGGCGUAAAGAGCACGUAGGUGGUUUUUUAAGUCAGAUGUGAAAUCCCUGGGCUUAACCUAGGAACUGCAUUUUGAAACUGAAAUACUAGAGUAUCGUAGAGGGAGGUAGAAUUCUAGGUGUAGCGGUGAAAUGCGUAGAUAUCUGGAGGAAUACCUGUGGCGAAAGCGGCCUCCUAAACGAAUACUGACACUGAGGUGCGAAAGCGUGGGGAGCAAACAGGGAUUAGAUACC